GAUGAACGCUAGCUACAGGCUUAACACAUGCAAGUCGAGGGGCAGCAUUAUCUUAGCUUGCUAAGAUAGAUGGCGACCGGCGCACGGGUGAGUAACACGUAUCCAACCUUCCGGUUACUCGGGGAUAGGCUUUCGAAAGAAAGAUUAAUACCCGAUGUUGCGUAUCUUUCUCCUGAAAGAUACGCCAAAGGAUUCCGGUAACCGAUGGGGAUGCGUUCCAUUAGGCAGUUGGCGGGGUAACGGCCCACCAAACCUUCGAUGGAUAGGGGUUCUGAGAGGAAGGUCCCCCACAUUGGAACUGAGACACGGUCCUA
Molecule: ribosomal RNA, 314 nt
Filed under: uncultured bacterium
Lineage: Bacteria
Description: bacterial SSU rRNA
Rfam family: Bacterial small subunit ribosomal RNA
Source: RNAcentral